Molecule: non-coding RNA, 1107 nt
Filed under: Pongo abelii (Sumatran orangutan)
Lineage: Eukaryota; Metazoa; Chordata; Mammalia; Primates; Hominidae
Source: RNAcentral
AGUGAAUGACCUGUUGCAGUGCUUUCAUUGAAGUGUUCUUCAUUCCCUCAGCAAUAUGAUUGUGAUGACUGAAAAAGGGAAACUCUGCCACUAUUUGUACCAUCAUCUUCACCAAAAUCUAAAAAUGCUUUUUAUGAUGUAUGGAGACAUUCUUCAUGUUUGUUUCAGUGGACACUCCUUGCAGAUGUAAAAAACUGAGAAAGCUCACUUUUGGAAAGUGACCUAAAGAGUAUCAUUGAAGUGAAUUUUAAGUAGGCACGAUGAUUGUUUUCAUGGUUGCUGUUGGAUCAUAUCUCAGGAGCUGGAAUGACAGACAUUAUUGAACAAAGAAAUCAGGAUAGUGGAACUUAAAGGGCUUCAUCUCAGUGCUUUCAUAAGUAUGAAGUGCAUAUAUUUAUAAUUUUCACUAAUCACAGGGUAAAUAUAAAAUUGAUUCAUUAAAAAUGUUUCAUAAGAAUUCAAAGGACAUAGAAUUUUGUGAAAUGUAGUAUUUUUACUUAAGUGCCUUUUCUCUACUUCUACCCCACAGCCAAUUUUUUAUAAACCAGUUGAUACAUAAGUAGUUUUGGGGGGAUGAUAUAUUACUUAUACAUUUUCUAUGUAGUAAACAUGUAUGUGUAUGUGUGUGCGUGUGUAUCUAAUUACUUUGUUGGAGUGAUUCCUACGGUUUGGAACUGCUGGGGCCAAGUUUAUGCAAAAAUCUACAUUUUUGAGUAAACACCCCAUGACUCUAGUAAGUUUCCACAGUAUUUGAGAAUUCUUUAUUUCCUAAAGCUGUACAAACAUCAGAUAAUCAAUAUUUGUAAGGAUCGAUAAUAUAAUUUAUAAUGAAAUUGCUUUCUUAGCUAUUAAUGUUAACUACAUCAUCUUCAUAUAGCCUUGUAACUCGUUUGUGCUAUUCCAUUUUCCUCUGUUCCUUUUAUUUUCACUUCCUUUGUAAUGUUAGUCUCUUUGUACUGAUUUCUGAAGAGUUCAUUUAUGAUUAAAGAUGUUAACAUUUUGUCUAGAAUUGCAAAUAUGUUUUUUCUCAUUCAUUUUACUAUGGUGUUUUAUUUUUUGGUUAUACAGAAGUUGUAUAUUGAAAUAUAAUCUUGUUCUGUUUUAUGA